Molecule: unclassified non-coding RNA, 280 nt
Filed under: rhizosphere metagenome
Description: partial ribosomal RNA internal transcribed spacer region
Source: RNAcentral
GGUAAGCUUGACUUUUGGACUCUUUCCAUUCUUAACUAACAACAUUGCAGUAGGUGAACCUGCGGAAGGAUCAUUCACGAGACUGGGUUUCUCACGAAGCCCAAAUCUCCCAACCCUUUGCAAACUUGAAACUUUGUUUGGCAAGCCGAGUUACGUCGGUGACUCCAUCGGCCUAUCGGUUGAUGAGUGCUUGCCAAAAUAUUUUCCAAAUUCUUUGAAAAGUCUGAAAACAUUGAGAAACGAAAGCCUAAAACUUUCAACAACGGAUCUCUUGGUUCUG